GUGUGUGGUGUACCCUCUGUUCAGAGGGAGUGAACAGCCAUCCUCCCUUACACAAACUGGCUCGGUUGUAAAACCCUCCACCCUGGGAAGACCACAUACACACAGGACAUUCACCUGAGAGGCAGCUGAGAAGUGUCAUGAACCAUCAGAGAACCCCAAAAUGCAACACACCCCUGACUGAUUCCUGAGGCCCCGCAUGUGACUCAAGGGACCCUCACCACUGGGAACAUCAGAAGAAGAAAAAGACCAAUGGGACACCACAAGGAUCCAUGUAAUGAAAGUCCUUGGACCACCAUCAAGUUCUACAGACCACACCAAAAGCCUUGGAGAAAUUCAGGUAGACAAUGACCUGUGCUCACACCACAUCAACUGAGCAGUUGUGGAUUGAUAAUAUGGCACAGAACAUCUGAAAAGAUAUAGCAGGAGAAAGCUGCACAGAUGGGCUCCUUCCUCUCAUUUCUACUUACAAACAAGAGGAACUAAGUCUUCUCUUAAAUGCUUCUCAGAAUACCUGACAGGGAUAAAAUUUACAAUUAGUUAUAGAGAAUACGAUUGAAUCCUUCAAUGUCCUAAAUGUUCCUUUUUUGGACAAACCACUCAUUUGCAGUAAAAUCAAAUCUA
Molecule: long non-coding RNA, 621 nt
Organism: Poecile atricapillus (Black-capped chickadee)
Lineage: Eukaryota; Metazoa; Chordata; Aves; Passeriformes; Paridae
Exons: 4
Source: RefSeq, a predicted model, not a curated record